This 7607-nucleotide long non-coding RNA is filed under the name Podarcis lilfordi (Lilford's wall lizard). The record is from RNAcentral. Lineage: Eukaryota; Metazoa; Chordata; Lepidosauria; Squamata; Lacertidae.
GUUUUUGCCUGACUGGAAUGUGUCCUUGAACUAUGAUAAUGCCUCCAGCUUGCCUGGAUGAAGAGAGAUGUGUGGAUGGUCAUUUGUUCAGAAGCUUACUCAUUAUUUUGUGACAUUCCUAAUAUAUGCCUUGCUGUUGAUUUUAGAUUAGUAGUAGUAAACGUAUUAUGGUGCAGUGUGGAAUCAGUGGAAUAAUUUACCAUCUUUCUUGAAGAAUUCUCAGAAAAAUGUUCAUAUUUUUCAAAGAAUUAUAUCCCAGCUCAAAAUAAUAAUGUCAGCACACGUCCAUUGAAGCCUUAUCGUUUUCAUCUGUUUUUCCUUAAAGUUCUGUACAGUGGUACCUCGGGUUACAUACGCUUCAGGUUACAUUCGCUUCAGGUUACAGACUCCGCUAACCCAGAAAUAGUACCUCGGGUUAAGAACUUUGCUUCAGGAUGAGAACAGAAACCGUGCUCCGGCAGCGCAGCAGCAGCCCCAUUAGCUAAAGUGGCUUCAGGUUAAGAACAGUUUCAUGUUAAGAAUGGACCUCCGGAACGAAUUAAGUACUUAACCCGAGGUACCACUGUAUACUGAUCACAGCACAGAGUUGUGCAUUCUGUGUGAUAUUGACACAGUUAAGGAAAAUUCACAAGCUUCGGGGGUAAGAGUGCUGUGCAAUCCCUGAGUUUGUCUGUCCAAGCUUAGGGAAGCUCCCCGAUCCAAAUGAGCUGGAGUUUAGGCUUCUUUCUUUUUAUAUACUCUUUAAGAACUUUUCCCUAGCAUUAUGUGACUAAUAAAACCCCUGCCACCAGCUUUAACUGCAGACACCAGCAAGACCCCUGCCCUAGUCCUUCUCUCUGCUCUAAUUAUUUUCAUAUUGACCAGGGAGUUUUGAGCAAAUAAGUUCAGGGAUUGCCUUGCUCCCCAGGCUUGGGUAGCUAUGCCAUAUGGAACUGCAUUGUUCUUAAGGGCUUCUGUGCAAGUCUGCCUGAACUAUCAUUAAUAGUACUUGGACUAACCCCGCCCCCCCGGCAAAAAAAACCUCCACUUUAUUAUUUAUUUGCAAUUUGCUUAGUUCACUUGAACAUACCUUGGCACAAAUACUUUACAAACCUGCCUGGACAGUCUUAAUGGUGAUCACACAUAGGUAAAAUUUUAUUUUACAUUUCAAUCCAAAGAACUUCUCAGCGAAAUGAUGCUCAGUUUGUAAUAUAAUCCAGAAGAACCAGUACCGUGAAAGAUGUAAUUAUGGACCCUACAGUGACAUCACUUAGUAAAAUAUAAAAUUAACAAUACAAAGUCACAAAAUAUUGUUUUCUGCUGAACGGAAAACUUGUUAUAGUCUGAUCUUGUCUUUCCUUAUUGCUCCGUGGUCUGCUUUGAAUCCCACUAUCCUCUUUCCUGUCUUUUGUUGCCUCUCUGCUCAUUCCUUCCUUGUAAUAAUUACACAUAGAUUCUAAACCUCUGAUAGAGUUUUAACAAAAAGAUUUGUAAAUCUCUGAUCUAAUAAAAAUUAAGUUGAUAUUUUACCUAUAAUUUGCCUUUGUGACUGAUAGUUGUUGGCAUAGUGUGACCCUGAUAAACCUAUCUUUCUGUCUCAGCCGUCUUCUUGUUGCUGCAAACAGACACAAAUUACCCUCAUUUCGGGGGGGGGGGGGCUUCAUUGUUGAAAUCAAUACAACAUGAAUGGAAAAACUCAAAUUAUUAGAACUCUAUUUUCCUCUUUUCAGUAAUGGUGCUGGGAAGAAUUGAUUGAGCUUUGGUGUUGCAUUUUAAACAGCCAUUCCCACGCAGUUUGUUCAUAUAUAUUUUUUCUGGUGCCUUCUUUUUUGUAGUAAAACUUCAAGACCCAUUUAUGAUGAACAAAUACAAAUGGCAAUCUUGAAUACUGCUUGUGGUGUUUGGUAAUGUAAGACCUCUCAUCAUAGCUAUUACCUUAGCUGUAUGAUAAUGGAAAUAGCUGUGCUUGGGAACCAAGAAUUUAUUACAGCAACAGUGCACUACUAUGCUGUGCAUGGGUGUUGGUUUGCUAAAGGCAGCGUGGAGACUGAUGGAGAUGGUAUUGCUGUUGCAUUGAAUUGAUAAAGCAGCACUAUUCACCAUACUUCACUUGCUAGGCAGGAGUAACUGGCUUCACAAAUGUAAGAUGGGGGACACAUGGUUUGCUAGUAGUACAUGUGAAAAUGAUCUAGGGGUCUUAACAUGCUUAACAUGAGUCAACAGUGUGAUGCAGUAACAAAAAAGGUUAAUGCUAUUCUAGACUCCUUCAACAGAAGUAUAGUGUUAACAUCAAGGGAAGUAAUAGUACCACUCUUUUCUGCCUUGGUCAGACCACGCCUGGAAUACUGUAUCCAAUUCUGGGCACAAUUUAAGAAGGAUGUUGACAAGCUGGAACGUGUGUAGAGGAGGGCAAACAAAAUGACCUGGCACCUGGAAACCAAGUCAUAUGAGGAAUGGUUGAGGGAGUUGGUAAGUUUAGAUUGGAAAAGAGGAGAGUGAGAGGAGAUAUUAUAGCUAUCUUCAAAUAUCUGAAGGGCUGUCACAUAGAAGAUGGAGCAAGCUUGUUUUCUCCUGCUCCAGAAGCUUGGAUCCGAAACAGUGGUUUCAAGUUACAAGAAAGGAGAUUCCGACUAAACAUAUAGAAAAACAUUCUGACAGUAAGAGCUGUUUGACAGUGGAUUGAACUCCCAUGGGAGGUUGUGGACUCUCCUUCCUUGGAGGUUUUUAAGCAGAGGAUGGAUGUCUAUCUGUCAUAGAUAUUUUAGUUGAGAUUCCCACAUUGCAGAGUGUUGGACUAGAUCAGGGUUCUUUCCAACUUUAUCAUUCUAUGCUAGGUGUACUGUAGAUUGGAACAUACCAGCCAAGCGAGGGGAGAAGCUAUUUUAUCCUGAACCUGAGAGAAUUAGAAUAGACUUUGCAUCCCAUCUUCCUAGCCUUACUCAGAACAGUGCAGCAAGCCACAAAGAGGAUAAUAGAGAAAUGUCCACAUUUUCAAACCUCAGUAACCAUGUUGGUGUUGAAAUAUAUAUGAUACAGUAUUUAAUUAGCCAUGUAGUUCUUUUUUAUUAUUCAACUCCUCUAAGUCUUGAUGAGAAUUUAGCAUAGAUCAUAUUGGCUUGCAAUUGGUUCUUCUAGAGGGAGUUCCAUAACUGUUUCUCAGGAGCUGUAUGAAAAUCUCAAACUUUAUUUCGGUAACCGACCAACAUAAAAUGAAUCAGACAGAUAAACUGAACUUAAAACAGGUAAGGGAUAAAAACUAGUAGUUAAAAGGUGAUUAUAUCAUACAUAAGUUAAAAAGAUAGAAACAAAGACAAACUGUUAAAAGUGACUAUAAGGGCGGGAGCGUGAAGGAGCCCAGGUCUUGCAUUUUGGGUCUAGUUUGUGGCGCAAAGCAUCUUUCAACAAAUAACCAUCAUGGCAGUACAGAAUCUGGCAACUGAGUAUGUAAAGGCUUCUCGGCCUUUACACUUGCUAACAUCAAGUGUAGUAUCUGACUCUCUAUCAGAUAUUCACACUUCCACUGAACAGUCAAAGAACAACACUAACAGAUUAGCAGGCAAUUGUUUCCAUAUUUAAUUUAUGUCAUGCAGUAGUACCUUGGUUUUCAAACAAGAAUGCAUUCCAAAAGUCUGUUUGACUUCCAAAACAUUUGGAAACCAAGGUGUGGCUUCCACACCUUGGUCCUGCAGCCAAUUGGAAGCCACGAAAGUCACGCCAGAUGUUUGGCUUCCGAGGCAAAGUUUGCAAACCGGAACACCUACUUCUGGGUUUAUGACGUUCGAGUUGUUCGUGAACUAAGUUGUUUGAAAACCAAGGUAUGACUAUAUUACAUCUGCUACCUGUUUUGAGUUUUGUAAUUGGUUUACCAAUGCCAGGUACAUUUGCGCUACUAUCAACACUGCUUUGUGAAUGGUCACUAUGAUGAUUUUACAUGCAUGUAAGUUUUAACAUAAUGGUCACAGACUCAUGUUGUUUGCAUUUCAUUUCCCUCUGUCCUCACUGAUUACAGUUUACCCCUUCAACAAUCAUGUGUGUUUGUAGACAUAUAUAAUGCUGCAUGCAUCUAAUGAAGUGGAUUCUUGCCCAAAAAAGUAUUCCAUAAUAAAUUCAUUAAUUUUUAAGGUUCCAAAAACUCUUGGGCAUGUUAGCACAUAACUAUAAGUCAAGAGUGAGGAAACUAUAACCCUCCAGAUGCUAUUGGACUACAACUAUCAUCCCUGACCAUUGAUCAUGCUGGUUGGAACUGAUGCGACUUGUGGCUUUCUAACUGUUUUUGGAAUACAAGUUCCCCAUCCCUGCUAUAAGCUAUGAAUUAAGCCUUAAUAAACCUAAAUGUGAAAAAGCAGCAUAUUGGUGCAUGCAGUCCAUUCAUUCCUCCCUUUGUGUAAACUGGGUAUGGAUUAUUUUGUGCUAUGUCUGAACCUUGUUUGUUGCUCCCAAGCAAGCCAGAAUUCGUAAGUCAACCACAAACUCCAGUUUAAGGGUUAGAGUCCUGGCUUGUUUGGCAACAACAAACCAGAAUCCUUGGUUCAGACAUCAUAUGAAGCUAUUCAUUCCUGGUUUAUCUGCUCAUGCAGUGAGGGGAGGAAAAGGCUACAAGCACUAUCAUGUUGCUCAUUUAAUAAACCAAGUGUGGCCUUUGUUGUUUUUUGCUGCAAUAGAUGAACAUAGCUACCCCUCUGAAAACUAAGCUCUGUUGUUCUGCAGUUAAAAACCUCUGGUGGGUCAGCACCUUGGUCUGGAUAAGUGACUAGACUAUCAAUUCUAUGUGCAUAUUUUCCUUUCAUGGCUCAUUUUCAGAUUUUGGUCCCUGGAUCUUAGGCAUCCAUUUUUCGAAGAAGAGGAUGAGAGUUUUCUCUCAGCACAUCUGAAAGGCUAAUAAUAUAAGAUUGUUGAGAUGCCUAUGAUUCUCCAAGCUGAGUUAUUUCUCAGACAGUGUGACCUGGGAUUCUACAGAGGAUAGUCUGCCCUCCUGUUUCUCAGUACUAUCUGCAGAGAGAUGAUCUGUUUGCUACCUCCGUGUCGUUUUCAACUAACUCUUUGAUUUGAUUGCUGAUUAUGGUCAGAUUACUUUAAAAAUGUUCUGGAAUUUUCUGAAAUGAGAUUCUAGCCCAAGUAAUAGGUUACCUGUUAUUUUCUUUGGUAUUUGUGACCCCCAUCUCAUAGUGUGUUUAUUAGGUUCUCCCUUUUCUCAUUUUGCGGCUAUGUUCAUUUCUUCUGGUCUAGUUCCCGUUAUAUUUUGAAGCGACCAUUAGUGAAGAGCCUGACCAAUAGAUCAGGGUCAAUCCAUGAUCAGCUAAUAGAUAAAACGAUUUUGUUGGGGAAAGAACAAUGACUUACAGAGAAAUCAGUUAAGUGAGCUCUCACAAUAUUUCAGGCAAGGUGGGGAGGAACAGAGUUUUGUCCAAAUGUCUCCUGGCAUGUUUGAGUAGAGCACAGGUGAGGACCCGCAGCCCUCAGCCUAGUUGCACACAGCUGAGGGGAGCCCUCAGGGGCCUGGGGCUGUUUCUUCAAUGUUUUAAGAGGAAAUGAGAAAAUACAAAGGUUAAUUUUCAUUGCAAUGCAAUAUCUACCAUGAAUUGUACGGCUGAUUCAAAAAUCCAUUGCACUGUUUGGUUUAGUAUUGUAGCCAUUUAUUGUACAAUUCCUAAUAAGUGGCUUGAGGCUUAUUAUGGAUUUAAUUGAGAUGCUCAGGCCAUUUUACAGUGCCUCAGGUGUCAAACAUCUAUUUUCCUGUUUAGCUGGUAACUGUUUCUCAGAGACUAGUAUGCGCUAAUUACAGAUGCAUAUUGAAUCUUUUGUGGAAAGUUCUGUCUUGUUUAAACAAGACUGUUAGACAACAACAGUGUGGACGGAUUUCUGAAGGAGGAUAGGAAGGUUGCAGAAUUAUUACAAUCAGUCUUUACCAUGGAAGAUGUUGAACAGAUACUCCGCCUGAACAAGUAUUUUGAUGGAGAGCAUUUGAAGCACCAAGUUGAAAAGAGGUGACAAGGAAUGAAAUUCUAAGGCUAAUUGACAGAUUAAAAAUCUAUGUCAUUGGAUCUGGAUGGCAUACACCCAAGAGUUCUUAAAUCAAGUGUGAAAUUGCUGAUCUUCUUAAGAGAAAAAAAUGUUUUAGGUUGUCGCUAAUAUCAGAUUCCGUACCUAUGGAUAAAAAGGUUCACUGACAUAAUGUCAAUUUUUAGAAAAAGAUCCAAACGUGGUAGGCAGGCCCCAGGUAAAUGGCUAGAAAGGAUUAGUUGUUGGCAUCCAUCUAUCUUGGGAGAAAAUGGAAGAGUGCACUUUCCAGGGGCACAGUCAAACAGUCGGAGAGUUACAGCACCUGCUGUGACUGUAAAGACUGAUAUGGGAGAGAUAUGUCUUGUUGCAGCUAGGGUAGAUGUUUCUUUUUUCUGCGCUCCUCCCAGCUAUCAUUCCUCAUUUGGUCACAUGACCUGACUGAAGUCUGACCCACAGAACAGGCAAAGUUGGAGUGAUGGUAAGAGAGCAAUAGCUGUGAAUAACCUAGCUCCCUUUAAACAUCCAGGUAUUAAAUCUACAUAAUUAAAGCUCUCUGUGUAAACAGUUGGUUGCAUGCUUAGUUAGAAAAGUAUUAACAUGCCUGUUUUGUAUAUUCUGUGUGGUUUUUCUCAGUUUUCGUUCUGUGUGGUUUUUCUCAGUUUUAGAAUAAUUCUCUUUUAGGUUAGGUUGCAUUUGCUUUGCCUUUUGGAAUUCAAAAGACUGCACCCGAAGACUUCUAAAAGAUCCAAGCCUUUUAAAGACCCAAAACUUCUAAAAAGAUCAGAGAGUAGCUGCCCUACAAUGUAACUUUGCUUGCUGCACAAGUUUACUAUCUAAAAUUGUUACAGUUUGGAGGGUUUAUGUUUACAAGCAUAUAUGGAAUACAAUUUGUAAGGGAUUCUUAUGAAUUUAAGAAGUGCCCUGUAUGAUCAAGUCCUCUCCCCGCCCCCUACUCCCAGCGUUCAAGAGCUAAGGCUUUUUGAAACUAACACUUCUGCACCCUUCCUUAAUAACUGACCUUUUGUUACCUAAUAGAGUUGUUGAAUCCCCCCUUUAGACCUAUUUGGCAGUGUUAAUUCAACUCUGCUUUGUAGUUAGCUUUAUCUCUUUCCUGCAGCUGUGUCUUAUGCUCUCAGUUCUCUUUUGUCUUUUGCUGGUCUCCAUUUCCAGACCAGCUAUUUUUUUGUUCUCCCGUAGCAUUUUAAGAAGCAACCCUGGUAUGCCCUCAUGCUCUUGUGUUCAUGCUUUGCAGCUCAGUGGGCUCAUUGUACCUUCAUAGAACCACAGAAUCUUAGAGUUGGAAGGGAGCCAAGAGUCAUCUAGUCCAUCCCCUCAGUUUCUUCAUCCAAGUAAUUUAUGAAGGCAUUGAGCAACAACAGCCCCAGGACAGAACCCUGUGGCACCCCACUAGUCACUUUUUUCCAGGAUGAUGUGGAGCCAUUCAUGAGUACUCUUUGGGUUCGGUCAGCCAAUCAGAUACAAAUCCACCUAACAGUUACCUCGUUCAACCCACAUUUUACCUGCUUUCUCGUGGGAAUAUUGUGGGGGACUUUGUCAAAAGCCUUACGGAAAUCAAGAUACAGUAUGUCCACAGCAUUUCCCUGAUCCACCAAGUUUGUAAUUUCAUC